This 253-nucleotide ribosomal RNA is filed under the name uncultured bacterium. RNAcentral's name for it is "partial 16S ribosomal RNA". It matches the Rfam family "Bacterial small subunit ribosomal RNA", at positions 524 to 776 of the family's 1533-position model. The record is from RNAcentral.
GACAGAGGGUGCAAACGUUGUUCGGAAUUACUGGGCGUAAAGCGUGUGUAGGCGGCCAAGCAAGUCGGAUGUGAAAGCCCCGGGCUCAACCCGGGAAGUGCACUCGAUACUGCCUGGCUCGAGUAUCGGAGAGGUUGGUGGAAUUCUCGGUGUAGAGGUGAAAUUCGUAGAUAUGGGGAGGAACACCGGUGGCGAAGGCGGCCAUCUGGACGGAUACUGACGCUGAGACGCGAAAGCGUGGGUAGCAAACAGG